UACAGAGGGUGCAAGCGUUAGUCGGAAUUACUGGGCGUAAAGCGUGCGUAGGUGGUUUGUUAAGUUAGAUGUGAAAGCCCCGGGCUCAACCUGGGAACUGCAUCCAAAACUGGCAAGCUAGAGUAGGGCAGAGGGUGGUGGAAUUUCCUGUGUAGCGGUGAAAUGCGUAGAUAUAGGAAGGAACACCAGUGGCGAAGGCGACCACCUGGGCUCAUACUGACACUGAGGUGCGAAAGCGUGGGGAGCAAACAGG
This 253-nucleotide ribosomal RNA is filed under the name uncultured bacterium. Its description in RNAcentral is "partial 16S ribosomal RNA". It matches the Rfam family "Bacterial small subunit ribosomal RNA", at positions 524 to 776 of the family's 1533-position model. The record is from RNAcentral.